RNAcentral lists this ribosomal RNA (254 nucleotides) under uncultured bacterium. RNAcentral's name for it is "partial 16S ribosomal RNA". It matches the Rfam family "Bacterial small subunit ribosomal RNA", at positions 354 to 625 of the family's 1533-position model. The record is from RNAcentral.
GUGGGGAAUAUUGCACAAUGGGCGAAAGCCUGAUGCAGCAACGCCGCGUGAGUGAUGAAGGUCUUCGGAUUGUAAAGCUCUGUCUUUUGGGACGAUAAUGACGGUACCAAAGGAGGAAGCCACGGCUAACUACGUGCCAGCAGCCGCGGUAAUACGUAGGUGGCGAGCGUUGUCCGGAUUUACUGGGCGUAAAGGGUGCGUAGGCGGAUGUUUAAGUGAGAUGUGAAAUACCCGGGCUUAACUUGGGUGCUGCA